UUUUAAGGGUGUGGACAAUCGGGCAAGUGACUGCAUGUGACAACAGAGAGAGGGCAUGGUACACGGUGGCAGAUGAGCCCGGGACUGGAGGCAGAUCUGGGUUCCAGUUCGGGCUCUACCAGCAGCACCCAUGUGUCCUUCUGUUCUCUGGGCCUCAAUUUCCUGUUGUAAAAUUCAGAACUUGGAAGAGAACUACAGAAAGGGACAGAGCUGUUUAUGUCAUGAAAAGCAGGCCUGAGCAUUAGAAGACUGAGAAACACCUGGGAGGAUCUUGUUUCAACAGAGCUCAAAGCCGUGGCAAAAGGACGGAGCUCGAAUUGUGCAAUUGUGAGUGACUCGAAGCUG
Molecule: long non-coding RNA, 345 nt
Filed under: Homo sapiens (human)
Lineage: Eukaryota; Metazoa; Chordata; Mammalia; Primates; Hominidae
Description: HSALNT0105572
Source: RNAcentral